RNAcentral lists this ribosomal RNA (478 nucleotides) under uncultured bacterium. Its description in RNAcentral is "partial 16S ribosomal RNA". It matches the Rfam family "Bacterial small subunit ribosomal RNA", at positions 28 to 523 of the family's 1533-position model. The record is from RNAcentral.
GACGAACGCUGGCGGCGUGCUUAACACAUGCAAGUAGAGCGAGGAAAUUGCUUCGGUAAUUUCCUAGGGGCGGACGGGUGAGUAACACGUGGGCAACCUGCCUGAUAGAGGGGGAUAACCUCCCGAAAGGGAGAUUAAUACCGGAUGACGUCAAAUGAAGGCAUCUUCAAAUGACCAAAGGAGUAAUCCGCUAACAGAUGGGCCCGCGGCGCAUUAGCUAGUUGGUGAGGUAACGGCUCACCGAGGCGACGAGGCGUAGCCGACCUGAGAGGGUGAUCGGCCACAUUGGGACUGAGACACGGCCCAGACUCCUACGGGAGGCAGCAGUGGGGAAUAUUGCACAAUGGGGGAAACCCUGAUGCAGCAACGCCGCGUGAGUGAUGAAGGCCUUCGGGUUGUAAAGCUCUGUCUUCAGGGACGAUAAUGACGGUACCUGAGGAGGAAGCCACGGCUAACUACGCGCCAGCAGCCGCCGUAA